Molecule: long non-coding RNA, 178 nt
Organism: Manacus vitellinus (golden-collared manakin)
Lineage: Eukaryota; Metazoa; Chordata; Aves; Passeriformes; Pipridae
Exons: 2
Source: RefSeq, a predicted model, not a curated record
CACUGUGUCUCUGGGUGAACACCUCCCCAGACUCUCCCUGGACCUUCAAUCCUUCUCCAGCAAUUGCAUGGUGGCAAGGAAACGUGGCUUGGGAUCGGGAUCGUGUGGUUGGUGAAACCCUAACAUGUGUGAUACCUGCCUGUCCUCAGCCUGGGGUCAGACAUCUGCAUCCCGUUCU